CAGCUUGUAGUUUAUUUAAAAUUUAAUCUUUGGGAGUUUAUGAAGUAUAUAUUAUACUUAGCUGA
This 65-nucleotide transfer RNA is filed under the name Zyginella minuta. RNAcentral describes it as "tRNA-Pro". The record is from RNAcentral. Lineage: Eukaryota; Metazoa; Arthropoda; Insecta; Hemiptera; Cicadellidae.